GAUGAACGCUGGCGGCGUGCCUAAUACAUGCAAGUCGAGCGAACGUACGAGAAGCUUGCUUCUCUGAUGUUAGCGGCGGACGGGUGAGUAACACGUGGAUAACCUACCUUUAAGACUGGGAUAACUUCGGGAAACCGGAGCUAAUACCUGCUAAUAUUUUGAACCGCAUGGUUCAAAAUUGCAUGACGGUCUUGCUGUCACUCAUAGAUGGAUCCGCGGUGCAUUAGCUAGUUGGUAAGGUAACGGCUUACCAAGGCAACGAUGCAUAGCCGACCUAAGAGGGUGAUCGGCCACACUGGAACUGAGACACGGUCCAGACUCCUACGGGAGGCAGCAGUAGGGAAUCUUCCGCAAUGGGCGAAAGCCUGACGGAGCAACGCCGCGUGAGUGAUGAAGGUCUUCGGAUCGUAAAACUCUGUUAUUAGGGAAGAACAUAUGUGUAAGUAACUGUGCACAUCUUGACGGUACCUAAUCAGAAAGCCACGGCUAACUACGUG
This 497-nucleotide ribosomal RNA is filed under the name uncultured bacterium. RNAcentral describes it as "partial 16S ribosomal RNA". It matches the Rfam family "Bacterial small subunit ribosomal RNA", at positions 28 to 507 of the family's 1533-position model. The record is from RNAcentral.